UGCAAGUCGAGGGGCAGCAUGAAGUAGCAAUACUUUGAUGGCGACCGGCAAACGGGUGCGGAACACGUACACAACCUUCCUUUAAGUGGGGAAUAGCCCAGAGAAAUUUGGAUUAAUACCCCGUAACAUUGCGAUGUGGCAUCACAUUGCAAUUAUAGCUUCGGCGCUUAAUGAUGGGUGUGCGUAUGAUUAGAUAGUUGGCGAGGUAACGGCUCACCAAGUCUACGAUCAUUAGCUGAUGUGAGAGCAUGAUCAGCCACACGGGCACUGAGACACGGGCCCGACUCAUACGGGAGGCAGCAGUAAGGAAUAUUGGUCAAUGGACGCAAGUCUGAACCAGCCAUGCCGCGUGAAGGAUUAAGGUCCUCUGGAUUGUAAACUUCUUUCAUAUGGGACGAAAAACAGAUCUUUCUAGAUCCUUUGACGGUACCAUAUGAAUAAGCACCG
This 447-nucleotide ribosomal RNA is filed under the name uncultured Bacteroidota bacterium. Its description in RNAcentral is "bacterial SSU rRNA". It matches the Rfam family "Bacterial small subunit ribosomal RNA", at positions 56 to 495 of the family's 1533-position model. Lineage: Bacteria; Pseudomonadati; Bacteroidota. The record is from RNAcentral.